Molecule: small RNA, 717 nt
Filed under: Pan troglodytes (chimpanzee)
Lineage: Eukaryota; Metazoa; Chordata; Mammalia; Primates; Hominidae
Description: processed transcript
Source: RNAcentral
GCGUGGUCAAGCCGGGGCUCGUUUGCAGUCAGUGGCAGCAGCAGCAGGCCCCCGCCGUGGAGCCGUGUGGUGUAUGUGUGGUAACACCAUGUCUGUGCCCCUGCUCACCGAUGCUGCCACUGUGUCUGGAGCUGAGCGGGAAACGGCCGCGGCACAGCUGGGCUGACGCCCUCUCCACCAUCCGGCUCCCUCACGUCAAGUACAUCUGUCCCCAUGCGCCUAGGAUCCCUGUGACCCUCAACAUGAAGAUGGUGAUGCCCUCCUGGUUUGACCUGAUGGGGCUGAGUCCAGAUGCCCCAGAGGACGAGGCUGGCAUCAAGAAGGCAGCAGAGAACAUCAAGGCCUUGAUUGAGCAUGAAAUGAAGAACGGGAUCCCUGCCAAUCGAAUCGUCCUGGGAGGCUUUUCACAGGGCGGGGCCCUGUCCCUCUACACGGCCCUCACCUGCCCCCACCCUCUGGCUGGCAUCGUGGCGUUGAGCUGCUGGCUGCCUCUGCACCGGGCCUUCCCCCAGGCAGCUAAUGGCAGUGCCAAGGACCUGGCCAUACUCCAGUGCCAUGGGGAGCUGGACCCCAUGGUGCCCGUACGGUUUGGGGCCCUGACGGCUGAGAAGCUCCGGUCUGUUGUCACACCUGCCAGGGUCCAGUUCAAGACAUACCCGGGUGUCAUGCACAGCUCCUGUCCUCAGGAGAUGGCAGCUGUGAAGGAAUUUCUUGAGA